This 273-nucleotide ribosomal RNA is filed under the name uncultured Eubacteriales bacterium. RNAcentral describes it as "uncultured Clostridiales bacterium partial 16S ribosomal RNA". It matches the Rfam family "Bacterial small subunit ribosomal RNA", at positions 72 to 339 of the family's 1533-position model. Lineage: Bacteria; Bacillati; Bacillota; Clostridia; Eubacteriales. The record is from RNAcentral.
AGAUCUUCGGAUGGAUUUAAAACAGCUUAGUGGCGGACGGGUGAGUAACGCGUGGGUAACCUGCCUCACACUGGGGGAUAACAGUUAGAAAUAGCUGCUAAUACCGCAUAAGCGCACGGUUCCGCAUGGCUCAGAGAGAAAAACUCCGGUGGUAUGAGAUGGACCCGCGUCUGAUUAGCUAGUUGGUGGGGUAACGGCCUACCAAGGCGACGAUCAGUAGCCGACCUGAGAGGGUGAUCGGCCACAUUGGAACUGAGACACGGUCCAAACUCC